This 744-nucleotide long non-coding RNA is filed under the name Ficedula albicollis (Collared flycatcher). RNAcentral describes it as "lncRNA (ENSFALG00000023026.1)". Lineage: Eukaryota; Metazoa; Chordata; Aves; Passeriformes; Muscicapidae. The record is from RNAcentral.
CCGGUGGCGGCCGCGGCCGCCAGGGGGCGCGCAGCUCCCGCCGCCCACCCAGAGCUGCCCCGCGCGCCGCGGCUCUGAGGGGCUCCGGGGGCUCCGCGCUCCCGCCGCAGCAGCGGGCACUUCCAGUGCAAUGUCCAGCAAGAAAAAGGCUGGAAAUUGCCCCUUAAAAGUGCUGCUUCAGAGCGACAGUGCUGUGCAGGGGAAGAGUGGGGAUGAAAGAACAAAAGGAAUGGAUGCUGGAUAGUUCCCAAAGAGAAUUGUUUCCUGGUUAUGUCAGGCUCACUUUUUACCUGAAUGUAUUCCUCAACCACAGCAUCAUAACAAACACAGAUCAUUGCAGGCAAGUUGGAGUGAGCCAUUUCAGAUUUUCAAAACAUGCUGCAGCUAGUGGAAAUCUUGGGGUAAGCAGUGCUUCAAACAUUCUAUCAACAGAUUACAGCAAAAAGGCUCCUUUUCUAGAAAACCAUUCUUCAAAAGAGCAGAGUGCAGCAGCAUGCUUCAGCCUCCAGGAUUCACACCACUAGCUUUAGGAAGUUUUGGAGGGUUAAAACCUGCCAUGGUAAUGGAAGUAAAAGCAAUCAGAUAAAGGAGAGUGUCUGCCCUCGCCCGCAUACUGUGAGAAGUAUUUGAGCCUGCUUCAGGCAACAGUGCUUGGAUUCAGCUUGUUGAAAGCACUUGGCCAAAGACCAUCCCACACCUGCACUGUGAAGGCCACAAAGUCUCGCCAGGGGAAUGAUGGGACAC